Molecule: non-coding RNA, 326 nt
Organism: Cinara cedri
Lineage: Eukaryota; Metazoa; Arthropoda; Insecta; Hemiptera; Aphididae
Source: the annotation of a GenBank genome assembly
AAAGGCCAAAACGUGGAUUUUAUGAAACUAUUAAUUUAGAAUUAACAUGUGCUGAACCUGCAACGUACAAAAAUUGUUUAAGUAUGUAAUCAUCACACUUAGAUUAUUUAUUGAGUAUUGUUGGUCCAUCUAUUGUUAAAAAAAAUGUGUGCAUGAGAAAUGCUAUUCUUGCUGGAGAAUGUUUAACAAUAAUUUUGCGUUAUUUAGCAUCUGGUAAAAUUUAAAAUUAUUAAAUAUCUUUUCAUUUAUUUGUGUAAUAAACAUUUUUAUUGUUGACAGGGUUGAGUGAUUAAGGUUCAUAUGAUUAAGGUUAUGGGUACAUAACU